UGGGGAAUUUUGGACAAUGGGCGCAAGCCUGAUCCAGCCAUGCCGCGUGUGGGAAGAAGGCCUUCGGGUUGUAAACCACUUUUGUCAGGGAAGAAACGGCCUAAUCUAAUACAUUGGGUUAAUGACGGUACCUGAAGAAUAAGCACCGGCUAACUACGUGCCAGCAGCCGCGGUAAUACGUAGGGUGCGAGCGUUAAUCGGAAUUACUGGGCGUAAAGCGUGCGCAGGCGGCUUUGCAAGACAGAUGUGAAAUCCCCGGGCUCAACCUGGGAACUGCAUUUGUGACUGCAAGGCUAGAGUACGGUAGAGGGGGAUGGAAUUCCGCGUGUAGCAGUGAAAUGCGUAGAU
This 348-nucleotide ribosomal RNA is filed under the name uncultured bacterium. RNAcentral describes it as "bacterial SSU rRNA". It matches the Rfam family "Bacterial small subunit ribosomal RNA", at positions 355 to 695 of the family's 1533-position model. The record is from RNAcentral.